CCUACGGGUAGCAGCAGUAGGGAAUUUUCGGCAAUGGGGGGAACCCUGACCGAGCAACGCCGCGUGAGCGAAGAAGUUAUUCGGAAUGUAAAGUUCUUUUAACAGGGAAGAAAGGGAAAUUUGACGGUACCGGAAGAAUGUGCCCCGGCUAACAACGUGCCAGCAGCCGCUGUAAUAAGCAGGGGUCGAGCGUUAUCUGCAAUCAUUGGGCGUAAAGGGUGCGUAGAUGGCAUAGUAAGUCUGUGGUAAAAAUGCUGGGCUCAACCCAGUAGGGCAAAAGAUACUGGAAAGCUAGAGUAUGACAGAGGCAAGUGGAACUAGAUGUGUAGCGGUAAAAUGCGUAAAUAUAUGUAAGAACACCAGUGGCGAAGGCGGCUUGCUGGGUCGAUACUGACAUUGAGGCACGAAAGCGUGGGGAGCAAACAGGAUUAGAUACCCCAGUAGUC
RNAcentral lists this ribosomal RNA (446 nucleotides) under uncultured bacterium. RNAcentral's name for it is "partial 16S ribosomal RNA". It matches the Rfam family "Bacterial small subunit ribosomal RNA", at positions 338 to 795 of the family's 1533-position model. The record is from RNAcentral.